AGUCAUCAACCUCUCCCGUUUCUUGCGGGCGUCGGUUGGAAAUGGGGGCAUGCUGCCGCGAGGCUGCUCCCCUCAAAUGCUUCGGUUGGACCUGUGGGUCGAACUCGACUGGGCGUUGUACCAUCCUCGCUCUCCCCGAGACGUUCUCCACUUUUUGCGUCCCUCCUAGACCUUGCCCGUGGGGUGGCGGUCAACAAAGCUCGACUUUGAA
RNAcentral lists this unclassified non-coding RNA (211 nucleotides) under Trechispora mollusca. Its description in RNAcentral is "partial internal transcribed spacer 2". The record is from RNAcentral. Lineage: Eukaryota; Fungi; Basidiomycota; Agaricomycetes; Trechisporales; Hydnodontaceae.